CAGGCUUAACACAUGCAAGUCGAGGGGCAGCAUGGUCUUAGCUUGCUAAGGCCGAUGGCGACCGGCGCACGGGUGAGUAACACGUAUCCAACCUGCCGUCUACUCUUGGACAGCCUUCUGAAAGGAAGAUUAAUACAAGAUGGCAUCAUGAGUCCGCAUGUUCACAUGAUUAAAGGUAUUCCGGUAGACGAUGGGGAUGCGUUCCAUUAGAUAGUAGGCGGGGUAACGGCCCACCUAGUCUUCGAUGGAUAGGGGUUCUGAGAGGAAGGUCCCCCACAUUGGAACUGAGACACGGUCCAAACUCCUACGGGAGGCAGCAGUGAGGAAUAUUGGUCAAUGGGCGAGAGCCUGAACCAGCCAAGUAGCGUGAAGGAUGACUGCCCUAUGGGUUGUAAACUUCUUUUAUAAAGGAAUAAAGUCGGGUAUGCAUACCCGUUUGCAUGUACUUUAUGAACAAGGAUCGGCUAACUCCGUGCCAGCGGCCGCGGUAAUACGGAGGAUCCGAGCGUUAUCCGGAUUUAUUGGGUUUAAAGGGAGCGUAGAUGGAUGUUUAAGUCAGUUGUGAAAGUUUGCGGCUCAACCGUAAAAUUGCAGUUGAUACUGGAUAUCUUGAGUGCAGUUGAGGCAGGCGGAAUUCGUGGUGUAGCGGUGAAAUGCUUAGAUAUCACGAAGAACUCCGAUUGCGAAGGCAGCCUGCUAAGCUGCAACUGACAUUGAGGCUCGAAAGUGUGGGUAUCAAACAGGAUUAGAUACCCUGGUAGUCCACACGGUAAACGAUGAAUACUCGCUGUUUGCGAUAUACGGCAAGCGGCCAAGCGAAAGCGUUAAGUAUUCCACCUGGGGAGUACGCCGGCAACGGUGAAACUCAAAGGAAUUGACGGGGGCCCGCACAAGCGGAGGAACAUGUGGUUUAAUUCGAUGAUACGCGAGGAACCUUACCCGGGCUUAAAUUGCAGAUGAAUUACGGUGAAAGCCGUAAGCCGCAAGGCAUCUGUGAAGGUGCUGCAUGGUUGUCGUCAGCUCGUGCCGUGAGGUGUCGGCUUAAGUGCCAUAACGAGCGCAACCCUUGUUGUCAGUUACUAACAGGUUCCGCUGAGGACUCUGACAAGACUGCCAUCGUAAGAUGUGAGGAAGGUGGGGAUGACGUCAAAUCAGCACGGCCCUUACGUCCGGGGCUACACACGUGUUACAAUGGGGGGUACAGAGGGCCGCUACCACGCGAGUGGAUGCCAAUCCCCAAAACCUCUCUCAGUUCGGACUGGAGUCUGCAACCCGACUCCACGAAGCUGGAUUCGCUAGUAAUCGCGCAUCAGCCACGGCGCGGUGAAUACGUUCCCGGGCCUUGUACACACCGCCCGUCAAGCCAUGGGAGCCGGGGGUACCUGAAGUGCGUAACCGCGAGGAGCGCCCUAGGGUAAAACUGGUGACUGGGG
Molecule: ribosomal RNA, 1433 nt
Filed under: uncultured organism
Description: 16S ribosomal RNA
Rfam family: Bacterial small subunit ribosomal RNA
Source: RNAcentral